This 478-nucleotide ribosomal RNA is filed under the name uncultured soil bacterium. RNAcentral describes it as "bacterial SSU rRNA". It matches the Rfam family "Bacterial small subunit ribosomal RNA", at positions 26 to 518 of the family's 1533-position model. The record is from RNAcentral.
AGGACGAACGCUGGCGGCGUGCUUAACACAUGCAAGUCGAGCGGUAAGGCCUUUCGGGGUACACGAGCGGCGAACGGGUGAGUAACACGUGGGUGAUCUGCCCUGCACUUCGGGAUAAGCCUGGGAAACUGGGUCUAAUACCGGAUAUGACCUCCUAUCGCAUGGUGGGUGGUGGAAAGAUUUAUCGGGUGCAGGAUGGGCCCGCGGCCUAUCAGCUUGUUGGUGGGGUAAUGGCCUACCAAGGCGACGACGGGUAGCCGACCUGAGAGGGUGACCGGCCACACUGGGACUGAGACACGGCCCAGACUCCUACGGGAGGCAGCAGUGGGGAAUAUUGCACAAUGGGCGAAAGCCUGAUGCAGCGACGCCGCGUGAGGAUGACGGCCUUCGGGUUGUAAACCUUCUUUCAGCAGGACGAAGCGCAAGUGACGGUACCUGCAGAAGAAGCAACCGGCUAACUACGUGCCGAAGCAGCCGC